AAAGCUAAACAGUAUUAAGGGUAAUGCCUGCCCAGUGACACUGUUAAACGGCCGCGGUAUCCUAACCGUGCAAAGGUAGCGUAAUCACUUGUCUUUUAAAUAAAGACUAGAAUGAAUGGCCAAACGAGGUUCCACCUGUCUCUUACAAAUAAUCAGUGAAAUUGAUCUUCCUGUGCAAAAGCAGGAAUAACAUUAUAAGACGAGAAGACCCUGUGGAACUUCAAAUACAAAUCAACUACCACUAACAUCCACCUACGGGGCCCAUACCAAACUAACAUCUGAUUCAUAUUUUCGGGUGGGGCGACCUCGGAGUAAAAUAAAACCUCCGAAAAAUAGAACUCUAUCUAAACCUAGACCUACAGCCCAAAGUGCUUCCAGCAAAACGAUCCAUAUACUUGAUCAACGAACCAAGCUACCCCAGGGAUAACAGCGCAAUCCCCUCUUAAAGUCCCCUCCAACAAGGGGGUACCACCCCCAUGGGGGAUCAAGAAAACCCGGGGGGGAAACCCUUUAAGGGGGCCUUUUUUCCCAAAAAAAAGGGGCCCGGGGGGGGUUUUUUAAAAAGAGAG
This 569-nucleotide ribosomal RNA is filed under the name Cyclemys gemeli. RNAcentral's name for it is "partial large subunit ribosomal RNA". It matches the Rfam family "Bacterial large subunit ribosomal RNA", at positions 1834 to 2631 of the family's 2925-position model. The record is from RNAcentral. Lineage: Eukaryota; Metazoa; Chordata; Testudines; Geoemydidae.